This 28-nucleotide ribosomal RNA is filed under the name Fusarium solani. Its description in RNAcentral is "partial 28S ribosomal RNA". The record is from RNAcentral. RNAcentral also lists the same sequence under 2 other names. Lineage: Eukaryota; Fungi; Ascomycota; Sordariomycetes; Hypocreales; Nectriaceae.
GUUGACCUCGAAUCAGGUAGGAAUACCC